GUAGGUGGCAAGCGUUGUCCGGAAUUAUUGGGCGUAAAGCGCGCGCAGGCGGGUCCUUUAAGUCUGAUGUGAAAGCCCACGGGCUCAACCGUGGAGGGUCAUUGGAAACUGGGGGACCUGAGUACAGAAGAGGAAAGCGGAAUUCCAAGUGUAGCGGUGAAAUGCGUAGAGAUUUGGAGGAACACCAGUGGCGAAGGCGGCUUUCUGGUCUGUAACUGACGCUGAGGCGCGAAAGCGUGGGGAGCAAACAGGAUUAGAUACCCUGGUAGUCCACGCCGUAAACGAUGAGUGCUAAGUGUUAGGGGGUUUCCGCCCCUUAGUGCUGCAGCUAACGCAUUAAGCACUCCGCCUGGGGAGUACGGCCGCAAAGGCUG
This 374-nucleotide ribosomal RNA is filed under the name uncultured organism. RNAcentral describes it as "partial 16S ribosomal RNA". It matches the Rfam family "Bacterial small subunit ribosomal RNA", at positions 527 to 896 of the family's 1533-position model. The record is from RNAcentral.